UUUAUUGUGCUCUAAACAAACAAACAAAGGGGGACAAUCACAUCGAGUAUAUGAGUCGAAUUCAUAGUUAAACAAGAAGAAAUGCAAUGGAAAAUUCACAAGGUCAGAAUGAGCAAGUCCCUCAAAUCAUACCAAGUUACAUUGGAGUAGGAGAUGUUCCCACUACUCGUACUAAGAGGUAUAGGAUAUUUUCUCCUCAUGUCCAAACCAACAACUUCACAAUCAAGAGGAGUUUGAUCUCUAUGGUUCAGAGCAAUAGAUUCAUGGCCUGCUUUUGGAAGACCCCUUAGGCCAUGUGCAGCGGCGUGUUUUGUAAUCGUUCCACACAUUUAAAAAAAAAAAAAAAAAGCAAGGACGUUGGUAAAAUCGCGACGUCCCUUGCCUUGCUUUUCAACUAUUUGCGGGCCCCACUGACAUGUGUGGCCCGCUAUUGGUUGUAUUUAUUUUUUUUUUUUUCUUUUUUUUCUUAAAUCUAAAUUUUUUUUAAAAAUCAUAUAUAUAAAAGUAAGUUUUAACUCUCUUCUUAUUGGUGGAAAAACAUUUAAGCCCUUUAUUUAAA
RNAcentral lists this long non-coding RNA (559 nucleotides) under Capsella rubella. RNAcentral's name for it is "long non-coding RNA (CRUB_LNC000560)". Lineage: Eukaryota; Viridiplantae; Streptophyta; Magnoliopsida; Brassicales; Brassicaceae. The record is from RNAcentral.